GAUGAACGCUGGCGGCGUGCCUAAUACAUGCAAGUCGAGCGAACAGACGAGGAGCUUGCUCCUCUGACGUUAGCGGCGGACGGGUGAGUAACACGUGGAUAACCUACCUAUAAGACUGGGAUAACUUCGGGAAACCGGAGCUAAUACCGGAUAAUAUAUUGAACCGCAUGGUUCAAUAGUGAAAGACGGUUUUGCUGUCACUUAUAGAUGGAUCCGCGCCGCAUUAGCUAGUUGGUAAGGUAACGGCUUACCAAGGCGACGAUGCGUAGCCGACCUGUGAGGGUGAUAGGCAAUACUGGAACUGAGACACGGUCUAGACUCCUACGGGAGGCAGCAGUAGGGAAUCUUCCGCAAUGGGCGAAAGCCUGACGGAGCAACGCCGCGUGAGUGAUGAAGGUCUUCGGAUCGUAAAACUCGGUUAUUAGGGAAGAACAAAUGUGUAAGUAACUAUGCACGUCUUGACGGUACCUAAUCAGAAAGCCACGGCUAACUACGUG
RNAcentral lists this ribosomal RNA (497 nucleotides) under uncultured bacterium. RNAcentral's name for it is "partial 16S ribosomal RNA". It matches the Rfam family "Bacterial small subunit ribosomal RNA", at positions 28 to 507 of the family's 1533-position model. The record is from RNAcentral.